Molecule: transfer RNA, 59 nt
Filed under: Ascaris lumbricoides (common roundworm)
Lineage: Eukaryota; Metazoa; Nematoda; Chromadorea; Rhabditida; Ascarididae
Also listed under: 1 other name
Description: tRNA-Glu
Source: RNAcentral
GAGAUAUUAGUAUAAAUUUUUUGUAUAUUUCUUUUUCGAAGAAAAGGUGUAUUAUCUUA